This 253-nucleotide ribosomal RNA is filed under the name uncultured bacterium. RNAcentral describes it as "partial 16S ribosomal RNA". It matches the Rfam family "Bacterial small subunit ribosomal RNA", at positions 524 to 776 of the family's 1533-position model. The record is from RNAcentral.
UACAGAGGUGGCAAGCGUUGUUCGGAAUUACUGGGCGUAAAGGGCGCGUAGGCGGCCAUCUAAGUCAGACGUGAAAUCCCCCGGCUUAACCUGGGAACUGCGUCUGAUACUGGACGGCUUGAGUAUGGGAGAGGGAUGUAGAAUUCCCGGUGUAGCGGUGAAAUGCGCAGAUAUCGGGAAGAACACCCGUGGCGAAGGCGGUUCUCUGGGACGGUACUGGCGCUGAGACGCGAAAGCGUGGGGAGCGAACAGG